ACUGCGGGAGGGUCAGUAAAACAAUAAUUCAACAUUGUGUCAGAACAAUAACAUCUAAAACCGAUCAUCAAUUAAUUAAUUCAAAACUUUCAACAACGGGUCUCUAGGUUCUCGCAUCGAUGAAGAACGCAGCGAAAUGCGAUACGUAGUACGAAACGCAAGUCGUGAAUCAUCGAAUCUUUGAACGCACAUUGCGCUGUGUGGCAUUCCACACAGCAUGCCUGUUUGAGCAAUAUUUCUCUCUCGCAAGGUGUUGGGCACCACGCCGGCAGGCGUCUGCCAGAAACGAAAUUGUCUAAAACAGUUAAGCUUGUUACAGACUCUUGAUCUUAUUCUCAAAUCAGGUAGGGCUACCCACUGAACUUAAGCAUAUCAGAAGGCGGGGGGGAGGGGAGGGAAAAUACCAAAAUUAAAUCACAUUGUGUCAGAGCAAUAACAUCUAAAACCGAUCAUCAAUUAAUUAAUUCAAAACUUUCAACAACGGGUCUCUAGGUUCUCGCAUCGAUGAAGAACGCAGCGAAAUGCGAUACGUAGUACGAAACGCACGUCGUGAAUCAUCGAAUCUUUGAACGCACAUUGCGCUGUGUGGCAUUCACACAGCAAGCCUGUUUGAGCAAUAUUUCUCUCUCCAAGGUGUUGGGCACACGCCCGCGGCGUCUGCCGAAACGAAAUUGUCUAAAACAGUUAAGCUUGUUACAAACUCUUGAUGCUUAUUCUCAAAUCAAGUAAGAACUACCCGCUGAACUUUAACAUAUCUAAAGGCGGGGAAGAAAAAA
Molecule: ribosomal RNA, 776 nt
Filed under: Diutina rugosa
Lineage: Eukaryota; Fungi; Ascomycota; Pichiomycetes; Serinales; Debaryomycetaceae
Description: eukaryotic LSU rRNA
Rfam family: 5.8S ribosomal RNA (bases 85-235)
Source: RNAcentral